UGAGUGUGAUCAAUAUGAGAAAUCACUUGAUGUCUUCUCAUUCAUCAGUAGUCUUCUCGAUGCUGUAGUGGUGUAAAUGGUCCUUUGACCUGCAGUGUCAUUGGCUAUUUAUAGAAAGGCUACUAAGUUUGACUACAUAUUUUCUUGAUUUCUAGCCAUUCGGAUCCUUGUUGCAUAUGUUAGUUACAGUAGGUUUAGGUUCGCUGUUAGAGUAGGAUGCACCU
RNAcentral lists this long non-coding RNA (224 nucleotides) under Elaeis guineensis (African oil palm). RNAcentral describes it as "long non-coding RNA (EGUI_LNC082707)". Lineage: Eukaryota; Viridiplantae; Streptophyta; Magnoliopsida; Arecales; Arecaceae. The record is from RNAcentral.